Molecule: transfer-messenger RNA, 428 nt
Filed under: Spirochaetota bacterium
Lineage: Bacteria; Pseudomonadati; Spirochaetota
Description: Spirochaetes bacterium transfer-messenger RNA
Rfam family: transfer-messenger RNA
About the family: Bacterial tmRNA, also known as 10Sa RNA or SsrA, is named for its dual tRNA and mRNA-like properties. Its role is to liberate the mRNA from a stalled ribosome. To accomplish this part of the tmRNA is used as a reading frame that ends in a translation stop signal.
Source: RNAcentral
GGGGCUGAAAGGUUUCGACAGCGUGAUUGAAAACUGAACAGCGGGCAGGUGUUCUCCACGAGCUACCUUGAGUGAACGUGGAAACCAAAAUAAGCGCCAACACUGACAGCGCACGGUUCACUGACGCCGACUUCGCCGAGAUCGAGGCUUUCGCCAACAACUCGGUGCUGGUCUAACCAGUGACCUACCGGGACCAAGCUAACCGCUCGCAGCGGACCCGGUAUCAUCUUUAGAAGCGGUAGAACGGACGGCUUGUGGGUCGCGUCGCUAAACAUGACCCUCUCUCCGCCGCAGGGGAUGAUAGAAGCGGCUUUAACGCGCAGAUGGCGUCUCGCCCGAUCUGCCGUCGAGAAGAUAGCGAGACUACGCCCGUAGAACGCAGAAGGAUUGACCGUUGGACCCGGGUUCAACUCCCGGCAGCUCCACCA